AGAAUCAACGCUGGCGGCGUGCCUAACACAUGCAAGUCGAUCGAGAAAGUGGAGCAAUCCAUGAGUAAAGAGGCGCACGGGUGAGUAACACGUGACUAACCUACCUUCGGGUGGGGAAUAACCUGGGGAAACCCGGGCUAAUACCGCAUAAUACCUACGGGUCAAAGGAGCAAUUCGCUUGAAGAGGGGGUCGCGGCAGAUUAGUUAGUUGGCGGGGUAAUGGCCCACCAAGACGAUGAUCUGUAUCCGGCCUGAGAGGGCGCACGGACACACUGGAACUGAAACACGGUCCAGACUCCUACGGGAGGCAGCAGUGGGGAAUUUGCGCAAUGGGGGAAACCCUGACGCAGCAACGCCGCGUGGAGGAUGAAGUCCCUUGGGACGUAAACUCCUUUCGACCGGGACGAUUAUGACGGUACCGGAUGAAGAAGCCCCGGCUAACUUCGUGCCAGCAGCCGC
Molecule: ribosomal RNA, 459 nt
Filed under: uncultured bacterium
Lineage: Bacteria
Description: SSU rRNA
Rfam family: Bacterial small subunit ribosomal RNA
Source: RNAcentral